AGUGGCGCACGGGUGAGUAACGCGUGAACAACCUGACCUUCAGAGGGGGAUAACAGCGAGAAAUCGGUGCUAAUACCGCAUAAGACCACAAUGUCGCAUGACGAAGGGGUCAAAGGAGCAAUCCGCUGAAGGAGGGGUUCGCGUCCCAUUAGGUAGUUGGUGAGAUAACAGCCCACCAAGCCGACGAUGGGUAGCCGAGCUGAGAGGCUGAUCGGCCACACUGGAACUGAGACACGGUCCAGACUCCUACGGGAGGCAGCAGUGGGGAAUAUUGGGCAAUGGGCGAAAGCCUGACCCAGCAACGCCGCGUGAAGGAAGAAGGUUUUCGGAUUGUAAACUUCUGUUGCAGGGGACGAAUGAAUGACGGUACCCUGUUAGAAAGCCCCGGCUAACUACGUGCCAGCAGCCGCGGUAAUACGUAGGGGGCGAGCGUUGUCCGGAACGACUGGGCGUAAAGGGCGUGUAGGCGGCCUGUUAAGUUAGAAGUGAAAGUCCUGCUUUCAAGGUGGGAAUUGCUUUUAAUACUGAUGGGCUUGAGUGCAGAAGAGGUAAGUGGAAUUCCCAGUGUAGCGGUGAAAUGCGUAGAGAUUGGGAGGAACACCAGUGGCGAAGGCGACUUACUGGGCUGUAACUGACGCUGAGGCGCGAAAGCGUGGGGAGCGAACAGGAUUAGAUACCCUGGUAGUCCACGCGGUAAACGAUGAAUGCUAGGUGUAGGGGGUAUCGACCCCUCCUGUGCCGGAGUAAACACAAUAAGCAUUCCGCCUGGGGAGUACGGCCGCAAGGUUGAAACUCAAAGGAAUUGACGGGGGCCCGCACAAGCAGCGGAGCAUGUGGUUUAAUUCGAAGCAACGCGAAGAACCUUACCAGGUCUUGACAUCGAGGAAAACUCAUAGAGAUAUGAGGUCCCUUCGGGGGUCCGAAGACAGGUGGUGCAUGGUUGUCGUUAGCUCGUGUCGUGAGAUGUUGGGUUAAGUCCCGCAACGAGCGCAACCCCUGUUGCCAGUUGCCAGCAUUAGGUUGGGGACUCUGGCGAGACUGCCUCUGCAAGGAGGAGGAAGGCGGGGAUGACGUCAAAUCAUCAUGCCCCUUAUGACCUGGGCUACACACGUGCUACAAUGGACGGAUCAGAGGGAAGCGAAAUCGCGAGAUGGAGCGAAACCCAGAAACCCGUUCUCAGUUCGGACUGCAGUCUGCAACUCGACUGCACGAAGCUGGAAUCGCUAGUAAUCGCGAAUCAGAAUGUCGCGGUGAAUACGUUCUCGGGCCUU
Molecule: ribosomal RNA, 1271 nt
Filed under: uncultured bacterium
Lineage: Bacteria
Description: bacterial SSU rRNA
Rfam family: Bacterial small subunit ribosomal RNA
Source: RNAcentral